GAUGAACGCUGGCGGCGUGCCUAAUACAUGCAAGUCGAGCGAACGGACGAGAAGCUUGCUUCUCUGGUGUUAGCGGCGGACGGGUGAGUAACACGUGGAUAACCUACCUAUAAGACUGGGAUAACUUCGGGAAACCGGAGCUAAUACCGGAUGAUAUUUUGAACCGCAUGGUUCAAUAGUGAAAGACGGUCUUGCUGUCACUUAUAGAUGGAUCCGCGCUGCAUUAGCUAGUUGGUAAGGUAACGGCUUACCAAGGCAACGAUGCAUAGCCGACCUGAGAGGGUGAUCGGCCACACUGGAACUUAGACACGGUCCAGACUCCUACGGGAGGCAGCAGUAGGGAAUCUUCCGCAAUGGGCGAAAGCCUGACGGAGCAACGCCGCGUGAGUGAUGAAGGUCUUCGGAUCGUAAAACUCUGUUAUUAGGGAAGAACAUAUGUGUAAGUAACUGUGCACAUCUUGACGGUACCUAAUCAGAAAGCCACGGCUAACUACGUG
This 497-nucleotide ribosomal RNA is filed under the name uncultured bacterium. Its description in RNAcentral is "partial 16S ribosomal RNA". It matches the Rfam family "Bacterial small subunit ribosomal RNA", at positions 28 to 507 of the family's 1533-position model. The record is from RNAcentral.